RNAcentral lists this long non-coding RNA (1533 nucleotides) under Cervus hanglu yarkandensis (Yarkand deer). RNAcentral's name for it is "lncRNA (ENSCHYG00000010807.1)". Lineage: Eukaryota; Metazoa; Chordata; Mammalia; Artiodactyla; Cervidae. The record is from RNAcentral.
CGGGGGCGCGGCUCCUCCGCGGGAGGGCUUGCCCCCCGCCUCAGCUGCCUGGCGCUCCCCGCGCUAACGGGCCCGGUGCAUCGCCACCGCGGCCCCGGCCCCGCCCGAGCUCGGCUGUGCCCCCAGGCCGGGCUCUGGGCCCCGGGCGCCCGCGGGCCAGGACGCCUCCCGCCGAGGCGCGGGGGCAGCUACAUCGCGGGGCGCCUGGGCGGCGGCGCCAAAGCCAGGGUCACAAGGGCACGGGGCGGGUGGGGGGGGGGAGGUGGGGUGCGGGAGGGGGCAAGAGACCGGGGCAGAGGUCGGCGCCCGCCGCGGGCGCUUUCACGCCGCGGGCAUCGCCCGCCCGGCUUCGGCGCCCCGGGCGCAAAGCAGGAGCGCAAACUCUGCCCGAGGCGGCGACGGCUGCGGUCUGGGCUCACUGGGGAGCGACUAGGUGCCCGCGGCGGCCCAGCUGCCUGGACCUCUCCCCUCCCCGGGGUGUGCCCCCAGCCCAAGGCGACCCGCUUAGGCGCUGGGUCGGCUACGGGAGUAGAGGUUUCUCCGGAGCCAGCGAGCCGAGCGGAGACACCGGGAGAAUUGAAGAGGAGGAGGAGGAAGAGGAGGAGGCGGAGGUGGAGGAGGAGGAGAAAAAGGAGGAGGAGCAGAGUGGGAGGAGGAGCCGCCGGCCGCGGGCCCCGCCGCGCGCAACGCUCUCCAAGAGCGCGCCGAGCCCAGCCCCGGCUCUGCAGUCCGCGCCAGCCAAGCGUCCGCGCCUUUUCUACAGCCGCGCCUGACAUCACGUCCUGCCGCCGCGCCAUUGGCCGCCCGGCACCCCGGGCCCCGGCAGCGCGUGCUCCGGGAAGGCGGGAGACCCGAGAGGGAGGGGAACCGCAAGAGGAGGAGAGGAGCGACGAGAUGGCAGGGAUGUUGCUCUUGGAGAAUGUGAAGACAGUUUGCUUCUUGACAAGCGAGCGAACGGGCGCCCAGAUUUUUGCAGCCUCUCGAGUCUCUCCCGAGGGAAAGGCAGGCAGAGAAAACGCCUGAUUUGGGAGCCACCAGGGAAGGAUUCCGUGCAGGGGGAGCCGCCCUCUUUGGCCCCAGACCGGCCUGCCGGGGACCCCCUUUGGGCAUAGCCAACGGAUGACCUGAAACACUGAGGAUGGUUCUGGGGAUUGGGGUGGGGAAAGCCUUUUGGAUAAUAACUGCAAAGAAGAAAGAGGCGAAGACAACUGUUUCUUCUCUGCCUUGCAGCAGGAGGAACUGUGUUCUUAAAGCUGUUGGCUGCAGUCACAGGGCCAGUUGCCUGCCUCCGUUCCCUGAGUAAAGUGUAAUGUCUCCUGUUUUCAGGGUUGCACCCUUCAGCAAAUUAUAUAUCUUGCUCGACUGUGAAAUAGGUCUUGCUAAGGAAGUGUGUGUGUGUGUGUGUGUGUGUGUGUGUGUGUGUGUGUGUGUUUAUGGGGGUGUGUCUCUCUACAGUGAGGCUGCUACUAGAGGUGCUAGUUAUUCAUUUCAAAAACCUGGUGGUUAAAAACUUUAAAAAGGGAGGGAUCAUUG